UCCGAGUUAUCCCCGGCAGUCUCCCAUGAGUCCCCACCAUUACGUGCUGGCAACAUAGGACAAGGGUUGCGCUCGUUGCGGGACUUAACCCAACAUCUCACGACACGAGCUGACGACAGCCAUGCACCACCUGUCACGGGCCCUUACGGACACUGUGUUUCCACAGUUUUUCCCGUGAUGUCAAACCCAGGUAAGGUUCUUCGGGUUGCAUCGAAUUAAGCCGCAUGCUCCGCCGCUUGUGCGGGGACCCGUCAAUUCCUUUGAGUUUUAGCCUUGCGGCCGUACUCCCCAGGCGGGAUACUUAAUGCGUUAGCUUCGGCACGGCAGUCGUUGGUACAACCGCCACACCUAGUAUCCAACGUUUACAGCGUGGACUAC
RNAcentral lists this unclassified non-coding RNA (378 nucleotides) under uncultured Acidimicrobiia bacterium. RNAcentral's name for it is "contains 16S-23S intergenic spacer region". Lineage: Bacteria; Bacillati; Actinomycetota; Acidimicrobiia. The record is from RNAcentral.